This is a long non-coding RNA of Dermochelys coriacea (leatherback sea turtle), 2042 nucleotides long. RefSeq lists it as uncharacterized. The record is from RefSeq and is a predicted model, not a curated record. Lineage: Eukaryota; Metazoa; Chordata; Testudines; Dermochelyidae. The transcript has 3 exons.
AGUCAAAAGCCGGGCACUGCCCUGCUUACCCCAGGUUCAUAGCCCUUCCCCGUCUACACCCGCGGGAUGCGGCGAACCACCCGAGGAAACAGCGCGGCUGGAGGGAGACCGGCGCUGCCGCCUGGAGUCCGGGGCUGAAGGAGUCAGAACCCAAACCAAAAUAAUUAUAGGAUAAAGGUUGCCUUUAAGAGCUUGGCCAACAUACUGUCAGGCUGCAUCUGGAAUUAGAUGGACAUGCUUCCGGACCAAUUGCUGUAACCGAAAAGAAACCACCUGUUUGGACUAGGAGCCAUCAAGCCUUAGAAAAAGAGGUCACUUGGAAACAUUUUAAAUGAGUGGGAAGCCAUCACAACAGAAAUUCUUCAAAGAAUCAGUCGCUAAGGAAUGUAUUGUCACUUCAGUGCAUUCAGCUACCACAUAUAUUCUCAACUAGCUGUAGUAAAAUUCAAUCAUUCAACUCCUAUUAACCUAGUAAGUGACUGAAGGAGUGCACAAACUGCACACUGGAAAUGAAUGGGUUAAAGAGCUACUCUGGGCCCAGGUAGACAUGCCCCACUCUACCUGCACAGGCUAGAGGAACUCAAAAAGGGGAGCAGGGGAGCUCAGUGGUAGGAGACAGUGGAGGAGAGCUGACCUACACUCUGAGCUCCUGCUGUCUGAGGCUUGUCUAUAUUGACCUGACCAAGCCUACAAAAAAGGGACUUGUGAUUCUGUAAAUUUCAGAGAUUCAUUUUUUGUUUAGUUCUUUUUUACCCAUGGGAUAAAGAGGGGACUGGUAGGAAGUGAUCCAAGGACACAGCCAUAUAGCACCUAAGAGUGCAGGACUUAGUUGCCUACCAUUGCACCCUGGAUUGGAGCCUGGUGGAGAGGGUGAGCCCAGGCUUUUCUACCAACCUCUAAAGAGGUACAAAUAUGGAAGUCAAUCCUUUGAUGGGGAACUGGGUCAGGGGAAGAUCCUGAAAAUACAAGGGUGUUAACCGUGACAUCCUGACCCAAGGAAGAAGCCCCAAUUCCCUUGCUUAAUCCAGAAGACUUCCCAGUAUUGGACUCCAUAUAUAUAUACCCUGCAAGGGGAGGACUUGAAAACAUCACCUGGCCAGAGGGCUGAUUCGCUAAUGGGAUUUUCCUAGAACAGACUAAGCAAGGGUGUGAUUGAAUGUAAGAGUCCCAUUGACUUUCAUAACCUUUAUACCUUGCUCUAUCUAGGUUUGUAUAAGGUCACCUUUCACCAUGGUAUCUGUGGAUGUGUUGGGUAGAAAAAGUUCAAUUUAUUAAAUGUACAUAGCUGCCAUUUUGGAUUGAUAAAAGGACAGCCAGUCCUCCAUCUUGGCACCCCUUCUCCUUCAGCUCUUGGCACUUUUUUUUUUUUUUUCCCCUCUCCAAGUUUGGUGCUAAAGCAGAGGGAAAGGCAGGAAAGAUAGUAUCACAUGAUCGUGAAAUCCGCCUAGCAACAGGGAACGUAUAUAAGGGUGUGUUCAAACUCUGACGGGGGUUCUUUCUGUGUCUCUGGAUGCUGUGAAAGCAGGUCAUCCCAGUGAGGUAUAGAAUCCCUCCCACAGCACUGGCCUUUCUGGGAGCUAGAGCCCUGAGGGAAUAAGACUUAAGGUGGACCAGUAUCACCUAAUAAGGUUCCUUUGGACUUACCCUCACUCACCUAUUAAAUCACCACACAGUGUAGUGUCCGCAUUCAGCACACAGGACAUCGAGGUCAAGAGUAGAAGUCUGAGGACAUCAUGCCAAAGAUGUACUUACCUGUCACAGAGUUUCCUGAACUCUGAUUCCUGUUGUGCUCCUGAUCCUUCCAUGAGGUCCUGGUUCCCGUCUGUGUUCCUGUUCUCCUGUCCAGUGUCUGCAAGACAUGGUAGAGUCCGUCUCUAUCAUUUUUGUAAACCCCACUGUGUAAGGGUUUGGGCUCUGGCGUUCAUCCCCCCAUUAUACCAUUUGUGUUAACAACCGAGCAGUUAUUCUUUGUGUUAUCUUAGUUGUAGGGAGUCCUAGUUUGUUUUUGUGUAUCUCAAUAAACACCAUUAUAUUGUUUGCAA